Molecule: long non-coding RNA, 685 nt
Filed under: Pan troglodytes (chimpanzee)
Lineage: Eukaryota; Metazoa; Chordata; Mammalia; Primates; Hominidae
Description: lincRNA
Source: RNAcentral
AGGACCAGGUGCCACCUCCUCUGGGAAGCUUUCCCUGCCCAUCCACAGGGUAUGCCUCCUUGUUCCUCUCCUGCCAUCAGUUUACGUGCCUGUCUCCAUCAACAGACCAGGAGCUCCUGAGGACAGGGACUGAGUCUGUCUGAUUCAUCUCUGCAUUCCUAGCACUUACCUUGGUGCUUAGUGAAAGCUCGAACCUGCCUGGGUUCCCACCUUGUCUCUGCUACCCCCAGCUCUGUGAACUCAGAGUCAUUUUUCUCUCCCCGAGUGGCACCGGGCUCAGCAGACACUCUGGCCAUGAAGGCAUCUUCUGACUCAAGCAGGCUGGAGUGCAAUGGCGCAAUCUCGGCUCACUGCAACCUCUGCCUUCCAGGUUCAAGCAAUUCUCCUGCCUCAGCCUCCCGAGUAGCUGGGAUUAUAGGCAUGCACCACCACGCCCAGAGCCAACUACUAAGCCUGUAGCAGCCUCCCAAACUGUCCAGUUUUGUUCAGAUGCACCUCCAGAAACACAGGGGUCCAAAAUGCCUCUUCCCAGACACCCUGAGGAGUAGAACAGUGCCAGCAGGCUCCAGGGAUGAGGGACUAGCUACCACAUUCCCUUUCCCAAGCCUCAGUUUCCCCACCUGUAAGAUGAGGGAUAUGGGCUCUGACUUUCUGAGUUUGGAAAAUAAAGUGCUCCCCAAACUGG